Molecule: ribosomal RNA, 1241 nt
Filed under: metagenome
Description: bacterial LSU rRNA
Rfam family: Bacterial large subunit ribosomal RNA
Source: RNAcentral
UGAUGACGAGACGCUAGGGCGUUGAAGCAGUGUAUGUCAGACUUCCAAGAAAAGCUCGCAAUGUCACAAAUAAAAAUGCCUGUACCAUAACCGACACAGGUGGGUAGGUAGAGUAUACUAAGGGGCGCGAGAUAACUCUCUCUAAGGAACUCGGCAAAAUGACUCCGUAACUUCGGGAGAAGGAGUGCCUUAUUUAUAAGGUUGCAAUAACAAGAUCCAAGCAACUGUUUAUCAAAAACACAGGUCUCCGCUAAGUCGUAAGACGGUGUAUGGGGGCUGACGCCUGCCCAGUGCCAGAAGGUUAAAGAAGUUGGUUAGUGUAUGCGAAGCUGAUGACUGAAGCCCUGGUGAACGGCGGCCGUAACAAUAACGGUCCUAAGGUAGCGAAAUUCCUUGUCGGGUAAGUUCCGACCCGCACGAAAGGCGUAAUGAUUUGGAUACUGUCUCGGAGAGAGGCUCGGUGAAAUAGACUUGUCUGUGAAGAUGCGGACUACCUGCACCAGGACAGAAAGACCCUAUGAAGCUUUACUGUAACUUGAAAUUGGAAUUGGACUUUGCUUGCGCAGUAUAGGUGGGAAGCGUUGAAAAUAUUCUUGCGGGAGUAUUGGAGCUAUCAGUGAGAUACCACUCUUGUAAUGUUAGAUUUCUAACUUUGAACCAUAAUCUGGUCAAAGAACAGUUUCAGGUGGGCAGUUUGACUGGGGCGGUCGCCUCCCAAAUGGUAACGGAGGCGUACAAAGGUUUCCUCUGAACGGAUAGAAAUCGUAUCUAGAGUGUAAAGGCAUAAGGAAGCUUGACUGUGAGACCUACAAGUCGAGCAGGGACGAAAGUCGGUCUUAGUGAUCUGACGGUACUGAGUGGAAAGGCCGUCACUCAACGGAUAAAAGUUACUCUAAGGAUAACAGGCUGAUCUCCCCCAAGAGUUCACAUCGACGGGGAGGUUUGGCACCUCGAUGUCGGCUCAUCGCAUCCUGGGGCGGUAGUACGUCCUAAGGGUUGGGCUGUUCGCCCAUGAAAGCGGUACGCGAGCUGGGUUCAGAACGUCGUGAGACAGUUCGGUCCAUAUCCGGUGUAGGCGCUAGAAUAUUGAGAGGAGCCUUCUUUAGUACGAGAGGACCGAGAAGGACACACCGCCGGUGUACCAGUUAUCGUGCCAACGGUAAACGCUGGGUAGCUAUGUGUGGAGUGGAUAACCGCUGAAAGCAUCUAAGUGGGAAGCCCACCUCGAGAUGAGUAUUCCC